Molecule: long non-coding RNA, 377 nt
Filed under: Gallus gallus (chicken)
Lineage: Eukaryota; Metazoa; Chordata; Aves; Galliformes; Phasianidae
Description: lncRNA (ENSGALG00010026314.1)
Source: RNAcentral
GGAAGAUGGAGAGAAACUAAUGUGUUGAUAAGCCUCUGACUCAAACAACGCGGUGCUUCUGGCAAAGUGACCAGCUGACAACCUAGAAGGAAAGUAACUUCUAGUGCCAGCUCUCUGCAAGGUGGUACUGCACUACGAAUAACCUGGUAGCUCCCAGCAGGGAUGUGAGAGGCAUCGGACCUCACAGAGGGCAGGGCUGAAGCCCCACUCCCUUAAAAUUGUUUUCUUCUCUCUUCCAAAAUACUUUCUGCAUGCUCCAACCAACUCUGCGUUUGAAAGAGAAACUGAACGUAGGUGCUGUGCUGCCCCAGCACAGGAUGUGUGCAAUGCUUCUGGAGCUGCACCAACACCACAGUAAGAAGGGAGCAGGUAAUGGG